GACGAACGCUGGCGGCGUGCUUAACACAUGCAAGUCGAACGGAAAGGCCCUGCUUUUGUGGGGUGCUCGAGUGGCGAACGGGUGAGUAACACUUGGUUACCCGGCCCUUACCUUGGGGUUACUUUCAGGAAACUGGGCCUAUUACCGGAUAGGACCUCCUCCUCCAUGGGGGGGGUUGGAAGGUUUCGGCGGUUGGGGAUGGACUCGCGGCUUAUCAGCUUGUUGGUGGGGUAGUGGCUUACCAAGGCUUUGACGGGUAGCCGGCCUGAGAGGGUGACCGGCCACAUUGGGACUGAGAUACGGCCCAGACUCCUACGGGAGGCAGCAGUGGGGAAUAUUGCACAAUGGGCGGAAGCCUGAUGCAGCAACGCCGCGUGCGGGAUGACGGCCUUCGGGUUGUAAACCGCUUUCGCCUGUGACGAAGCGUGAGUGACGGUAAUGGGUAAAGAAGCACCGGCUAACUACGUG
RNAcentral lists this ribosomal RNA (468 nucleotides) under uncultured bacterium. Its description in RNAcentral is "partial 16S ribosomal RNA". It matches the Rfam family "Bacterial small subunit ribosomal RNA", at positions 28 to 507 of the family's 1533-position model. The record is from RNAcentral.